Long non-coding RNA from Salvelinus fontinalis (brook trout), 1195 nucleotides. RefSeq lists it as uncharacterized. The transcript has 2 exons. NCBI's taxonomy places the organism in Eukaryota, Metazoa, Chordata, Actinopteri, Salmoniformes, Salmonidae. The record is from RefSeq and is a predicted model, not a curated record.
UUUUUUAAAUCUUUCCAUCCAGGCAAAGUACUAUGAAGGCAUCACGGAUCUCGACAAGAGGCGCAACAUUCAGAGAAAUUCACAAUUCAGGGACCUAGGGGUUCUGCCCAAAACCCAGAUGUGGAUCCACCUGAUGUCCUCCACUACCUGUUCUCCAGGACCUAGGGGUUCUGCCCAAAACCCAGAUGUGGAUCCACCUGAUGUCCUCCACUACCUGUUCUCCAGGACCUAGGGGUUCUGCCCAAAACCCAGAUGUGGAUCCACCUGAUGUCCUCCAUUACCAACCCCCCCCCCCCCAAUUUUCAUUACAUCAUCUACAGCUGCUGUUAUUGUCAUGUUGUCAUUGUCUGUUCUAAGAACGUUUUCUUGCUCUAUCAUACUGGCCACAUGAUAUGUGAGAUGAACUAAAAACACUAGCACUGCAAACACUCAGAACAAAGCAGUGCCUGGACUUUACAGUCUCCGUCUUCAACUGGGUGGUAGGUAGCCUAGUGGUUAGAGCAUUGGAUUAGGUAACUGAAAGGUUGCAAGAUCAAAUCCCAGAGCUGAAAAGGUAAAAAAAAAAAAACAGUCUUUCUGUCCCUGAACAAGGCAUUUAACUCACUGUUUCUGGGCUGUCAUUGAAAAUAAGAAUUUGUUCUUGCCUGACUUGACUAGUUAAAUUUUUUUUUAAAGUUCCCCUUGUGAGACUGGUUGCCUGUUGAGAACAAGUGCCAAGCAGAACCGUCACUCACUAUAUUCCACACACCAGAAUUAGUAUUUUAGUCUAUGGUUGCCAUAAAUUAAAAUUAAAAUAAAUUAAUGACAUAAACUUUGAUAUUGUUUGGUAGUGUUAUGUUUUAAAAUCUUAAAUAGUGCCAGCUUCACAGUUGUUCAUUGUAGGUUGUAAGGUAUCCUUUGAUUGCAUUUAUUUGUUCCACAUUAUUCGCCACCAUGGCCUUUUUAUAUAUAUUUUUUAUUUAUUUAUAUAUAUAUAUCUUGUUUGCCUUCACCUCCCUUAUCUCACCUCACUUGCUCAUAUUGUAUAUAGACUUAUUUUCACUGUAUUAUUGACUGUAUGUUUGUUUUACUCCAUGUGUAACUAUGUGUUGUUGUAUGUGUCGAACUGCUUUGCUUUAUCUUGGCCAGGUCGCAAUUGUAAAUGAGAACGUGUUCUCAAUUUGCCUACCUGGUUAAAUAAAAAAAUAAAAAUAAA